CAACAAAAAUGCAAAGGCAAGAGGCGCUAGAGCGAGACAGCUUGCAUUUGAAGCAGAGCGCACAGCGGAGAUCCCAACUUACUUAAGCACUAAAAAAACAAAGAUACCCAGCUGCGUCGAGUUUCCAAGAAGCAUUUAUGUAAGUGCUGAAUGUAG
This is a long non-coding RNA of Drosophila navojoa, 156 nucleotides long. Lineage: Eukaryota; Metazoa; Arthropoda; Insecta; Diptera; Drosophilidae. The record is from RefSeq and is a predicted model, not a curated record.